This 501-nucleotide ribosomal RNA is filed under the name uncultured bacterium. RNAcentral's name for it is "partial 16S ribosomal RNA". It matches the Rfam family "Bacterial small subunit ribosomal RNA", at positions 30 to 523 of the family's 1533-position model. The record is from RNAcentral.
AUUGAACGCUGGCGGCAGGCUUAACACAUGCAAGUCGAGCGGGGGAAGGUAGCUUGCUACUGGACCUAGCGGCGGACGGGUGAGUAAUGCUUAGGAAUCUGCCUAUUAGUGGGGGACAACAUCUCGAAAGGGAUGCUAAUACCGCAUACGUCCUACGGGAGAAAGCAGGGGAUCUUCGGACCUUGCGCUAAUAGAUGAGCCUAAGUCGGAUUAGCUAGUUGGUGGGGUAAAGGCCUAACAAGGCGACGAUCUGUAGCGGGUCUGAGAGGAUGAUCCGCCACACUGGGACUGAGACACGGCCCAGACUCCUACGGGAGGUAGCAGUGGGGAAUAUGGGACAAUGGGGGGAACCCUGAUCCAGCCAUGCCGCGUGUGUGAAGAAGGCCUUAUGGUUGUAAAGCACUUUAAGCGAGGAGGAGGCUACUUUAGUUAAUACCUAGAGAUAGUGGACGUUACUCGCAGAAUAAGCACCGGCUAACUCUGUGCCAGCCGCCGCGGUAA